GAGAGUUGUAAGCCGAGGGCCAGACUGUGAGAGUUGUGAGCCGAGGGCCAGAUUGUAAGAGUUGUGAGCCGGAGGCCAGACUGCGAUAGUACUGAGCCGGAGGCUAGACUGCGAUAGUGCUAAGCCGAGGGCCAGACUGUGAGAGUCGUGAGUCGGGGUAAGCUUGGUGCUACCUCUUUUCUUUUGUUUGUUAUUUUCUUUAAAUAAGAAGAUUGAAAGUUUCUGAAUAUUGUGAAGUGAAUUAUGGAAUAGAAAUGUGAUUGGUAUUAUUUGAGAAGAAGAAAGAUUAAAUGCUGAAAUCUGAUUGUAGUUCAGUAGAAAGAAUGAGUCUGUGUUUGUGUGAAACACUGUAAUGUGAAUGGCAGUUUUGUAUGAAGAAUUCCAGUGAUUGGAACGAGGAUAAUUGUGUGUUGAAAGCUAUGAAGGUGCAGUAUUACAGUUGGAGAUUAUGAGGGUGAAUAUAUUGGUAGAAAUAGUAGUUAUUGGUAUGAUUGAAUUGUUGUAAGGAAGAGACCGAUAAGGUGAAGGAGGAGAUUGUAG
Molecule: long non-coding RNA, 540 nt
Filed under: Physcomitrium patens
Lineage: Eukaryota; Viridiplantae; Streptophyta; Bryopsida; Funariales; Funariaceae
Description: long non-coding RNA (PPAT_LNC001912)
Source: RNAcentral